UAAUGUUACUAGACAAAGACACUUUCGACGGUGUGUUUCAGCAAAGAUCGGAAAAUAAUGGUGUCCUCUAGCUAAUUUUUCCUCAGAUGAUUCUAACUGCUAAGAACUUGAAAGCUAGAAGAUGGCCCCAUGGAGUGUUUUGUAUUCUCUGCCAUUCUCGGCAAUCAUGUUUUUUUUAGAAUCUCGGCAAUCAUGUUUUUAUACGAUAGAAUUAUGGACUAUGUCAUAUGCUCUUGGGCCUUGGCACGGCCUGGUGCCGAGCUUCUUCGUUGGAGAAAGAACGGUAGAGAAAUGGUGAAACAAGGCACGUAGAAGGUUGCUCUCAAAAAAGAAAAAAAAGGCACGUACAAGGUUGAAUAGGGAAAGAGAAGAGGCUUCGAUGGUACAACGAUCUGCACCAUUUGGAACAUUUAUGAAAAGAUAGAAUUCGACGCAUCUUCAUCUUGAAUCCAUGGAGGCAGAAAACGUCGCCCCAUAGGGCGCAUGAGAAGUUUAAGUUGUAUUUUUACUUAUAAAGUUUGGAAUUGGUGGUCGUCAAUUCACUUCUUCCUGACAUUUCUCUUGUCACUCCUAGAUUGUACAAACCCAUGCAGGAGCGGAGCUACAGUGUUACCAUUGGGGGUUC
This 625-nucleotide long non-coding RNA is filed under the name Brachypodium distachyon (stiff brome). RNAcentral's name for it is "long non-coding RNA (BDIS_LNC000381)". Lineage: Eukaryota; Viridiplantae; Streptophyta; Magnoliopsida; Poales; Poaceae. The record is from RNAcentral.